This 540-nucleotide long non-coding RNA is filed under the name Cottoperca gobio. RNAcentral's name for it is "lncRNA (ENSCGOG00000013205.1)". Lineage: Eukaryota; Metazoa; Chordata; Actinopteri; Perciformes; Bovichtidae. The record is from RNAcentral.
GGAAACCAGGUGAGGGGAAUAAGUUGAUUGCAGGCAGUGAGGAUGAACCAGGAUCUGAAAUGAUAAGAGAAUUACUGACAAGGUAAAACCAAAUGAAAACAAACUAACAGUGGGUGGAACGCGUGACACAGACUGUUGGUUCCAAUAUACACCAUUCUUCUGGAUGCAAAACAUGUUGCCAUGGACUCUUCUGCCAGAAACCCUGCUGUGAACACUGGUGUUGCAGCUCUCACUCUGGAACAUUUUCAAAAUGAGCUUCAGAAACCAGUCCAUUUAGGUGCACCAGUUCCAGGUUCCUGGUGUUGUGCCUGCUGGCUCACUACCAUGGCUUACUGGAACAUCCAAAUGGAGGGAAGCCAUCAUUAAAAGUGUUAGUUCCACCUGUGCGUUCCUUGCUAUGGCAAGUCAAAAUGCAGCGAAAAAGGCUCUCCCCUCGUGUGGUCCUCGGGUCAUUCUGACCCCAAAUUAAAUCUAUUGCCAUCAAAAUAUGUUUUUUAUUCAUGAAAUGGUCUGAAAAUAAUAUUUGUUGUCCAAUACUAU